RNAcentral lists this small nuclear RNA (107 nucleotides) under Prolemur simus (greater bamboo lemur). Lineage: Eukaryota; Metazoa; Chordata; Mammalia; Primates; Lemuridae. The record is from RNAcentral.
AAGCUCACUUGAGCAGCACAUAUACUAAAAUUGGAACAAUACGGAGAGCAUUAGCAUGGCCCCUGUGCAAAGGUGAUGCUCAAAUUUGUGAAUCAUUCCAUAUUUUU